This 497-nucleotide ribosomal RNA is filed under the name uncultured bacterium. RNAcentral's name for it is "partial 16S ribosomal RNA". It matches the Rfam family "Bacterial small subunit ribosomal RNA", at positions 28 to 507 of the family's 1533-position model. The record is from RNAcentral.
GACGAACGCUGGCGGCGUGCCUAAUACAUGCAAGUUGAGCGCUGAAGGUUGGUACUUGUACCAACUGGAUGAGCAGCGAACGGGUGAGUAACGCGUGGGGAAUCUGCCUUUGAGCGGGGGACAACACUUGGAAACGAAUGCUAAUACCGCAUAAAAACUUUAAACACAAGUUUUAAGUUUGAAAGAUGCAAUUGCAUCACUCAAAGAUGAUCCCGCGUUGUAUUAGCUAGUUGGUGAGGUAAAGGCUCACCAAGGCGAUGAUACAUAGCCGACCUGAGAGGGUGAUCGGCCACAUUGGGACUGAGACACGGCCCAAACUCCUACGGGAGGCAGCAGUAGGGAAUCUUCGGCAAUGGACGAAAGUCUGACCGAGCAACGCCGAGUGAGUGAAGAAGGUUGUCGGAUCGUAAAACUCUGUUGGUAGAGAAGAACGUUGGUGAGAGUGGAAAGCUCAUCAAGUGACGGUAACUACCCAGAAAGGGACGGCUAACUACGUG